GGCCGUCACGUGGGGCAGCGUGGGCCGCUGCCUUGGAAACGCAGAGCGCGCGCUCCAGGUAAAGGCUGCUACGCCCAGGACAGGGUUCUCACGGUGGAGGAAAGGACUUCUGCGGGAUACCACGCUGUGCGCCAAAAAGCCGGGCGGCUUCGGAGCCAGAGCAGCGGCUCUGCGGCGCAGGCGGCGGGUCGGGGCAGCCUUGAAGCCGGGAUCCGGCCCGAAGGGGUCUUUUUGGAGUUCCUGAGCUCAGUGCCCCAGAAGGCACAUACUUCAUAUGAAAUAUGAAGGAUUUCAUACUGCACAAGAAAAAGCCUUGAGAAAGACAGAAUUGCUUGUGGACCGUGCGUGUUCCACCCCACCUGGGCCCCAGACCGUGCUGAUCCUUGAUGAGCUCUCGGAUUCCUUGUGCAGAGUGACCGACUUGUGGAGGGGCUAGCCAGACAGCACAUUCAAGCUGUAUGUCCCGGGAUGAUUCCAAUGAAGGCUCUUCACAGGAACACGGAGAGAGGCCAUGCCCUGACCCUGCAGACGGAGCUGUGGACAAUGCUGUUUAAAGACUCCCCAACCUGCCCCCGAGAGUUCAGGACCCUGUAUGACGCGUUUCCAGCCUUCUAUGUGACUGUGGAGGAAGCCGAUCCUGUGGAGGAAGCUGAUCCAAGAUUCGGUGCUCGCUCCAGAAGCCCCAGGGGCACUAGUGCUAUCUGACAUUCUUCUCUAAACCCCUUGACCGAUGAGGCCAGGGACCUCAGCGCAGCCUCAUCCUCCUGCCCCUGGGGACAUUUACUGGAAUCCUCUGCUGCUCUGAUUCUGCCAGGCCCUGCCUGCAGGGGGUUCAUACCACCCUCAAGGCACCUGGGCCCCUGGGUACCUACGCACAGGCCUGGGGGAAGGACCCUCUGCAGGGCCCGUGUGUGGGAGCCUCUCCUGUAAGUUCUCUCUCCUGGUCUCCUGCCCUGUUCUGGUUUCUGGGACACAAAUUCAAACCCCUGCCCACACUCAUCACUACUUCCUUCCCUGCCCAUCUUUUAAAUAUUAUCAUGCAAUAAAAUAUACAUAAUAUAAAA
This 1064-nucleotide long non-coding RNA is filed under the name Homo sapiens (human). RNAcentral's name for it is "novel transcript". The record is from RNAcentral. Lineage: Eukaryota; Metazoa; Chordata; Mammalia; Primates; Hominidae.